Molecule: ribosomal RNA, 376 nt
Filed under: uncultured Katablepharidophyta
Lineage: Eukaryota; Cryptophyceae; Kathablepharidacea
Description: partial small subunit ribosomal RNA
Rfam family: Eukaryotic small subunit ribosomal RNA
Source: RNAcentral
GCUUGUCUCAAAGAUUAAGCCAUGCAUGUCUAAGUGUAAAUACGUCUACACUGUGAAACUGCGAAUGGCUCAUUAAAUCAGUUAUCGUUUAUUUGAUGAUCUCUUGUUACAUGGAUAACCGUAGUAAUUCUAGAGCUAAUACAUGCACAAAAUCCCGACUUACGAAGGGAUGUAUUUAUUAGAUACAAACCAACAUCGUGGUGAUUCAUAAUAACUUUCGGAUCGAUUUAUCGAUGCAUCAUUCAAGUUUCUGCCCUAUCAGCUUUGGAUGGUAGGGUAUUGGCCUACCAUGGCUUUAACGGGUAACGGAGAAUUAGGGUUCGAUUCCGGAGAGGGAGCCUGAGAAACGGCUACCACAUCCAAGGAAGGCAGCAGG